Molecule: ribosomal RNA, 301 nt
Filed under: uncultured bacterium
Lineage: Bacteria
Description: partial 16S ribosomal RNA
Rfam family: Bacterial small subunit ribosomal RNA
Source: RNAcentral
UAGGGAAUCUUCCACAAUGGACGCAAGUCUGAUGGAGCAACGCCGCGUGAGUGAAGAAGGCUUUCGGGUCGUAAAACUCUGUUAUUGAAGAAGAACGUGUGUGACAGUAACUGGUCAUGCAGUGACGGUAUUCAAUCAGAAAGUCACGGCUAACUACGUGCCAGCAGCCGCGGUAAUACGUAGGUGGCAAGCGUUGUCCGGAUUUAUUGGGCGUAAAGCGAGUGCAGGCGGUCUUUUAAGUCUGAUGUGAAAGCCUUCGGCUUAACCGAAGAAGGGCAUCGGAAACUGGGAGACUUGCAGA